Molecule: long non-coding RNA, 423 nt
Filed under: Piliocolobus tephrosceles (Ugandan red Colobus)
Lineage: Eukaryota; Metazoa; Chordata; Mammalia; Primates; Cercopithecidae
Description: lncRNA (ENSPTEG00000029007.1)
Source: RNAcentral
AUGGCAGAAAAAGAUCCCGUGGAAAGUAACAAUGAUACAUUAAACGAAACUGCUAUAUUUGAAGCGCUAACGAAUGUAACUGAAGGUAAUGUAGAAAAUAUGGAUGAAAACGGGUCACCCUUUAGUAGUAUUUUGCAAAAUCGUAGAUUAAUGGGAUUAGAAGGCGCAGCAAGCUUAGCUGUAUUAUAUUUGGUAUUUAUUGUUUGGAUGAUUAUUUUGAUAUUUUUAUAUUUGCUUAUAAGUCGGAGGCUUUAUGGAAUGGUACGAUAUAUAAAAAAUUUAGUUAAUAUAUGUAUAUAUAUUUCAUUUGUAUAUAGGUGCAUAUACGUAAUUUAAUAUUUAUACAAUAAUAUGUUAUAUAUAUUUGAAUUAUUACAGCAAAGAUCGAAUAAAAAAAAAAGUUGAUCGUCGUAGAAAGAGAUA